AUGUACGAAUAUGGUGGAGGCCCAGAUGACUCUCUUCGUCACAGCUCUGUUCAAUUAACUGAAGAAGAUAUUGUUUCAAUGUCAACUCUUCUGGUGAACGGUAAAUACGAAGACUGCAGUAAAGUCGGGUUAAACCCUUUCUGCAAGCUUAACCCAGUGCUAGAGGCCAAAUCUGAUUUCUGGAAAGCCAAGUACGAUCACGAAGCCGCCAAGAAAGCCAGAGCCGCCGCCAUAACCGCCAAGAAGACGACCUGGAGAUCUAAGAAGAAGAAGAAGAAAAGCACCGCUGAAGAUUUGUUGAAGAUUGAUGAUGAUACUUCUGAGUCGGAGGACGACACGGGGGCCAGGCAGGCCGUGGAAGAAGAGCAGCAUGAGAGCCGCCGUCAGGCCCGGAACGACGAUGAACCGCCUCCCGUUCUUCAACAAACUCCUCAAAAACGCCCGAAUGAGGAGGUGUCUCGCUCUUCUGGCGACUCGUCUCAAACUCAAUUCCCGGCCUUUAAGACUGCCCCUGGUGGCCAAGCCAAGUCCAAGAAGGCCAAGGUGACUAGGCCGGUGGAAAACUCGUCAGUCCUUGCAUCUGAACCGGCCAUGCCGCCUUCUCCCUCUCAUACUGAAGCACCAGAAGAGUUGGCCCAUACUCAAUCAGAUCCUCCUAAGCCGUUAGCUGACGAUACCAUCAUCAACCCUUCUGCUACCGGACCAUCCAGCUCAGGCAACCCGCCAUCAUCGUCUGUCCAGGACGUUCUGAUCACUGGAAGCCGCUUUGUUGAGCCGGGGAAUACCACCGUGUUGGCCCGUCAUACUGCUAAACAAGAAGCACUGGAGAGACAGAAAGUGCAUUUUGAUAUUUCUCAUUACAGCCAUCUGAACGCCAAUGACAUAUUGUCCGGCUAUGAGGCCCUCGCCGCCUUCGAGCUCGAGGCCCAUAGGCUGCUGCAGAUCGCCUACGGGGAGGGGUUCGAAGAGCCGCUGGCCACCCCGGAGGAUGGCGUCACCGGGCUCCUAGCUGCGCUCGUGAAGGCCCUGGGCGACAUGGCAUCUGCAAUCGGUCAGUUAGCUGAUACCGAGGGCCGAUCGCUUCUUACCUCCGCCUUGGCGCAGGUGUGCGGCCAUCUCUUCCUUCGUGACCCCAACUUCGACUUGGCCACGCUAUCCCAGCCGCUGGCCGCGAGCCUGGGGGGCGUGGCUGCUGAGUGUGUGGCGGAGAAGGUCAAAGAGCUGGUGGAGGCGUUCCUUCCGGCUACUGCUGAUGCGUCUGAAGAGGUGGAAGCUGAUGCCGGCGCGUCCGACGAUGCCUGA
This 1302-nucleotide ribosomal RNA is filed under the name Triticum aestivum (bread wheat). RNAcentral describes it as "partial small subunit ribosomal RNA". The record is from RNAcentral. Lineage: Eukaryota; Viridiplantae; Streptophyta; Magnoliopsida; Poales; Poaceae.